This 383-nucleotide long non-coding RNA is filed under the name Elaeis guineensis (African oil palm). RNAcentral's name for it is "long non-coding RNA (EGUI_LNC077900)". Lineage: Eukaryota; Viridiplantae; Streptophyta; Magnoliopsida; Arecales; Arecaceae. The record is from RNAcentral.
GCGGGGAACUCAAAGCGCAGAGCGUACUCCACGACGAUUCCCUCUGGACUGAUCAAGAUCAGGCCCGCACCUGUCCCUGACAUGUUGGAAGAUCCAUCCACGUAGAGGGCCCAAAAGCAAUCAGAGGGAUCUACUUCUUCUUUGGGGGAGUUCAGUCGGGACUCCAGGCCGUCAAUUUCGCCUUGUUCAGGUUUAGCCUCCUCUGGGAUAGUACACUUCACUAUGAAAUCUGCCAAUAUCUGGGCCUUCACUGCUGGCCUGGGUCGAUAGUUGAUGUCGAAUUCUAUGAGCUCGAUCACCCAUUUUGCCAUCCUCCCGGAGGCAUCCACCCGGUGUAGAAUCACCUUGAUCGAUUGGUCGGUGAGCAGCGUUAUGGUGUGCCC